GUGCUUGCUCUGGCAGCACAUAUUCUAAAACAGUGGAGAAAAGGUCAGCGUAGCCUUUACACAAGGAUGAUGUGCAAAUCUGUAAAGUGUUCCAUAGUUUA
RNAcentral lists this small nuclear RNA (101 nucleotides) under Vicugna pacos (alpaca). Lineage: Eukaryota; Metazoa; Chordata; Mammalia; Artiodactyla; Camelidae. The record is from RNAcentral.